This 297-nucleotide ribosomal RNA is filed under the name uncultured bacterium. RNAcentral describes it as "partial 16S ribosomal RNA". It matches the Rfam family "Bacterial small subunit ribosomal RNA", at positions 28 to 321 of the family's 1533-position model. The record is from RNAcentral.
GACGAACGCUGGCGGCGUGCUUAAUACAUGCAAGUCAACUGAACUUGAGGUAGUAAUAUUUCAAGGGAGGUGGCGCACGGGUGAGUAACACGUAGGUAAUCUGCCUUUAGGUCUGACACAACCCCGAGAAAUCGGGGCUAAUAUCAGAUGAUGCAGCGGCUCGACAUCGAGACAGUUGUUAAACCUUCGGGGCCUGAAGAUGAGCCUGCGUCUGAUUAGGUUAGGGUCGGAGUAAAAGACCCACCAAGCCUGCGAUCAGUAGCUGGUCUGAGAGGAUGAUCAGCCACACUGGAACUG